RNAcentral lists this ribosomal RNA (564 nucleotides) under Aorolaimus perscitus. Its description in RNAcentral is "eukaryotic LSU rRNA". The stretch from base 388 to 564 matches the Rfam family "Eukaryotic large subunit ribosomal RNA", at positions 665 to 813 of the family's 3401-position model. Lineage: Eukaryota; Metazoa; Nematoda; Chromadorea; Rhabditida; Hoplolaimidae. The record is from RNAcentral.
CGGACAGAGCUGGCGUAUCUGGCCUGUAUUCAGCCGUGCGCUGGUCGGCGUCAGGGCCUCGCUCUCCAGACUGGGAGCGUGUGCCUUGCACUGUCGGCCAUGCACAUGGUGCAUUUGCAGGUGGAGUGCGCUGAGGCGCCCGGGGCAGCGACAUGAGCUCGGCUCUGAGGCCAGCUCCGCAAGGGGUCUGGUACCCGGACUGGGGGAGUGCUGUUUGUUCUGGGUGUGCGYGGGCAAUGGAAUCGGGCUCGAUGUGGGUGCCGAGCUGGCGGUCGGUGGCGGUCGCGUGCGACACGUGCCAGCAGUCAGUUCGGUCCUGCUUGAGCUCUCAUCUGCCUGUCCUCGGUGUAAAAGCCGGUCAUCUGUCCGACCCGUCUUGAAACACGGACCAAGGAGUUUAGCGUGUGCGCGAGUCAUUGGGCGUUGAAAACCCAAAGGCGCAAUGAAAGUGAAGGUCUCCCUUGUGGAGCUGAUGUGUGAUCCUGGUCACUGCGGUGCACCGGGCGCAACAUAGUCCCGUCCUGACCGCUUGCGGUGGGGCGGAGACAGAGCGCACGCGCUGAG